Molecule: small nucleolar RNA, 120 nt
Filed under: Echinops telfairi (small Madagascar hedgehog)
Lineage: Eukaryota; Metazoa; Chordata; Mammalia; Afrosoricida; Tenrecidae
Description: Small nucleolar RNA SNORA61 (ENSETEG00000024579.1)
Source: RNAcentral
ACGCUCCAUAUUUCUUACCCAUCAGUCCUAAACGCUGGUCUGAGUGGUUAUGAAAGGAAGAAAAGUAAGACUGAAAAUAACUCAGAUUCUUAGGUGACAAUAAGCUAGUUUCAAACAAAC